Molecule: ribosomal RNA, 253 nt
Filed under: uncultured bacterium
Lineage: Bacteria
Description: partial 16S ribosomal RNA
Rfam family: Bacterial small subunit ribosomal RNA
Source: RNAcentral
GACAGAGGGGACAAGCGUUGUCCGGAUUUACUGGGCGUACAGAGCGCGCAGUCGGUCGUUCAAGUCGAGUGUGAAAGCCCCCGGCUCAACUGGGGAGGGUCAUUCGAUACUGAUCGACUCGAAGGCAGGAGAGGGAAGUGGAAUUCCCGGUGUAGUGGUGAAAUGCGUAGAUAUCGGGAGGAACACCAGUGGCGAAGGCGGCUCACUGGCCCGGAACUGACGCUGAGGAGCGAAAGUGUGGGGAGCGAACAGG